GGACGAACGCUGGCGGCGUGCUUAACCCAUGCAAGUCGAACGGAAAGCCCCUGCUUUUGUGGGGUGCUCGAGUGGCGACCGGGUGAGUAACACGUGAGUAACCUGCCCUUGACUUUGGGAUAACUUCAGGAAACUGGGGCUAAUACCGGAUAGGAGCUCCUGCUGCAUGGUGGGGGUUGGAAAGUUUCGGCGGUUGGGGAUGGACUCGCGGCUUAUCAGCUUGUUGGUGGGGUAGUGGCUUACCAAGGCUUUGACGGGUAGCCGGCCUGAGAGGGUGACCGGCCACAUUGGGACUGAGAUACGGCCCAGACUCCUACGGGAGGCAGCAGUGGGGAAUAUUGCACAAUGGGCGGAAGCCUGAUGCAGCAACGCCGCGUGCGGGAUGACGGCCUUCGGGUUGUAAACCGCUUUCGCCUGUGACGAAGCGUGAGUGACGGUAAUGGGUAAAGAAGCACCGGCUAACUACGUG
This 469-nucleotide ribosomal RNA is filed under the name uncultured bacterium. RNAcentral's name for it is "partial 16S ribosomal RNA". It matches the Rfam family "Bacterial small subunit ribosomal RNA", at positions 27 to 507 of the family's 1533-position model. The record is from RNAcentral.